CCGAAAUUUAAAACUCACAACGCGAGUCUCGUGCGGAAGCAAAUAUGACUGCCGAGACUUUGUGACUCUUCAAGUCUUCCUUUGCUCAAGUCAAACCACACUCGUGAAGCACAUGUGACGAGUCUGUGGUGAGCAUCGGGAGCACUGCGUUUCCUUCGGGAUUCACAGUCUAAAAAACGAAUUGUAAAAGUAUAUACGAUUAGUAUAUAACAAAAAAAGACGAAAAAAU
This 229-nucleotide unclassified non-coding RNA is filed under the name soil metagenome. Its description in RNAcentral is "partial internal transcribed spacer 1". The record is from RNAcentral.